GUGGACCAGAGGAAGCAGUGCUCCAUGUACAGUAAGCCAGGUCUGACUUCUGCUGUUGACCAGCCAUAUAAUGGUGGGCAAGUCAUGCCCUCUGAGCCCAGUUUUUCUACUUGGAAAAAGUAGUACUUGUAUAGUUGUAGUUUUUCUACACCAGCUCAUAGGACUACAGGAAUAAAAUGAGAGAACUGAAGAAGUUGACAGCCAUGAUCAAUUUUGGUGCUGCAGAACUGUUUGGGGCCGGUCAUUUGGAACUGAAGUGUAUGGCAUGCUGUGUCAGCUGAAAUUUCACAAGUCCAGACUGGAUCACAGGUUGUUUACAGGUACCCCAGAGGAGUCUGGAUUGCAGGAAGGCUCUGGACCAGCCAUCCUAACUUGAACUGGGCCAUAUCAUCAGAUAUGAAACCUCAGUGAUCUCCUUCCAAUUCUACCAACUCGGAUUCCGACUCCGUCGCCUCGCCGCUCGGUCCCUCCGGUGUAACCUGCUGCCACCUGGCUUCCCGGCUCAGGCGCCCGGCUUCAAAUCUGUCUCUCACCCAUUGUCCAGUUUCCGGUGAGUCAAGUUCAACCCCAGGUUCAACCCCUAG
This is a long non-coding RNA of Orcinus orca (killer whale), 584 nucleotides long. RefSeq lists it as uncharacterized. The transcript is spliced from 3 exons. Lineage: Eukaryota; Metazoa; Chordata; Mammalia; Artiodactyla; Delphinidae. The record is from RefSeq and is a predicted model, not a curated record.